AGUGAACGCUGGCGGUAGGCCUAACACAUGCAAGUCGAACGGCAGCACAGUAAGAGCUUGCUCUUACGGGUGGCGAGUGGCGGACGGGUGAGGAAUACAUCGGAAUCUACUUUUUCGUGGGGGAUAACGUGGGGAAACUUACGCUAAUACCGCAUACGACCUACGGGUGAAAGCAGAGGCUCUUCGGACCUUGCGCGAUUGAAUGGGCCGAUGUCGGAUUAGCUAGUUGGCGGGGUAAAGGCCCACCAAGGCGACGAUACGUAGGUGGUCUGAGAGGAUGAGCAGCCACACUGGAACUGAGACAGGGUCCAGACUCUUACGGGAGGCAGCAGUGGGGAAUAUUGGGCAAUGGGAGGAAGACUGAUCCAGCAAUACCGCGUGGGUGAAGAAGGCCUUCGGGUUGUAGAGACGUUUUGUUUGGAAAGAAAAGCAGCAGGUUAAUACCCCGUGGUUCUGACGGUACCCAAAGAAUAAGCACCGGCUAACUUCGUG
This 492-nucleotide ribosomal RNA is filed under the name uncultured bacterium. RNAcentral's name for it is "partial 16S ribosomal RNA". It matches the Rfam family "Bacterial small subunit ribosomal RNA", at positions 29 to 507 of the family's 1533-position model. The record is from RNAcentral.